Molecule: ribosomal RNA, 1455 nt
Filed under: uncultured Bordetella sp.
Lineage: Bacteria; Pseudomonadati; Pseudomonadota; Betaproteobacteria; Burkholderiales; Alcaligenaceae
Description: partial 16S-23S ribosomal RNA intergenic spacer
Rfam family: Bacterial small subunit ribosomal RNA
Source: RNAcentral
GGUUCGAUUCUGGCUCAGAUUGAACGCUGGCGGGAUGCUUUACACAUGCAAGUCGAACGGCAGCACGACUUCGGUCUGCGGUGGAGGGCGAACGGGUGAGGAGCCGUAUCGGAACGCCUAGUAGCGGGGGAUAACUACGCGAGGCGUAGCUAAUACCGCAUACGCCUCGGGGGAAAGCGGGGACCUUUCGGGCCUCGCACCAUUAGAGCGGCCGAUAUCGGAUUAGCUAGUUGUGCGUAACGGCUCACCAAGGCGACGAUCCGUAGCUGGUUUGAGAGGACGACCAGCCACACUGGGACCGAGACACGGCCCAGACUCCUACGGAGGCAGGGAAUUUUGACAAUGGGGAACUCCUGAUCCAGCCAUCCCGCGUGUGCGAUGAAGGCCUUCGGGUUGUAAAGCACUUUUGGCAGGAUAAGAAACGGCACGGGAUAAUACCCCUGUGCAACUGGAUGGUACCUGCAGAAUAAGCACCGGCUUAACGAUGCGCCAGCAGCCGCGGUAAUACAUGCAGGUGCAAGCGUUAAUCGGAAUUACUGGGCGUAAAGCGUGCGCGCAGGCGGUUCGAAAAGAAAGAUGUGAAAUCCCAGAGCUUAACUUUAAACUGUUACAUUCUUAACUAACCGAGCUAGAGUGUGUCAGAGGGAGGUGGAAUUCCGCGCGUGUAGCAGUGAAAUGCGUAGAUAUGCGGAGGAACACCGAUGGCGAAGGCAGCCUCCUGGGAUAACAAUACUGACGCUCGUGCACGAAAGCGUGAGUAAACAGGAUUAGAUACCCUGGUAGUCCACGCCCUAAACGAUGUCAACUAGCUGUUGGGGCCUUUCGGGUCUUGGUGUAGCACUGCAGUUGACUCUGGGAGGAUGGGCCAAAGAUUUAAAACCCAAAGGAUUGACUGGGAUCCGCCAAUAGGAUGAUGGAUUAAUUCAGCAAACACAAACCCGCCUGACCCUGACAUGUCUGGAAUCCCGGCGAUUGGGAGUGCCUGCAAGAGAACCGGAACACAGGUGCUGCAUGGCUGUCGUCAGCUCGUGUCGAGAUGUUGGGUUAAGUCCGCAACGAGCGCAACCCUUGUCAUUAGUUGCUGCUUUUGAAAGGGCACUCUAAUGAGACUGCCGGUGACAACCGGAGGAAGGUGGAUGACGGCUGGAGUCCUCAUGGCUCUUGCGGGUAGGGCUUCACACGUCACAAUGGUCGGGACAGAGGGUCGCCAACCUGCGAGGGGGAGCCAAUCCCAGAAACCCGAUCGUAGUCCGGAUCGCAGUCUGCAACUCGACUGCGUGAAGUCGGAAUCGCUAGUAAUCGCGAUCAGCAUGUCGCGGUGAAUACGUUCCCCGGGUCUUGUACACACCGCCCGUCACACCAUGGGAGUGGUUUUACCAGAGAAUGAAAGAAUGAACUGCAAGCGAGGGCGAUUACCACGGUAGGAUUCGAUCGGGGUGAAGUCGUAACAAGGCA